AUUGCUUCUUGGCCUUUUGGCUAAGAUCAAGUGUAAAUUUAUGUCUGACAACUCUAACAUCAAAAAUAUGUAAUGGUCUUUUGCAUUGCUGUUGCUAGUGUCAACUCAUAGCAACUCAUAUUAUAUGGUUAGUUUUGUUUUAGUAUGAGCUUC
This is a small nuclear RNA of Heterocephalus glaber (naked mole-rat), 153 nucleotides long. Its record names the gene U2. It matches the Rfam family "U2 spliceosomal RNA". Rfam says of the family: U2 is a small nuclear RNA (snRNA) component of the spliceosome (involved in pre-mRNA splicing). Complementary binding between U2 snRNA (in an area lying towards the 5' end but 3' to hairpin I) and the branchpoint sequence (BPS) of the intron results the bulging out of an unpaired adenosine, on the BPS, which initiates a nucleophilic attack at the intronic 5' splice site, thus starting the first of two transesterification reactions that mediate splicing. Lineage: Eukaryota; Metazoa; Chordata; Mammalia; Rodentia; Bathyergidae. The record is from Ensembl.